This is a non-coding RNA of Girardinichthys multiradiatus, 567 nucleotides long. NCBI's taxonomy places the organism in Eukaryota, Metazoa, Chordata, Actinopteri, Cyprinodontiformes, Goodeidae. The record is from the annotation of a RefSeq genome assembly.
AUGAACUGGAUCAGACAGACAGCUGGAAAUGGACUGGAGUGGAUUGGUUAUAUCAGUGAUAGCAGCACCUACAUCUACUACUCUGACUCAGUGAGAAACCGGUUCACCAUCUCCAGAGACAACAGCAGAAAAUUAAAGACCUGCAGUAAAUCAGAGACAAACACACUGCAGACUGAGCAGAGACAAAUGGCUGCUACAAUGAUCAGACCUCAUCAGGUUAUGAUUGCUUUUCUCAUCCUGACAGUUAACUGGACAGGUACUGAUGGUCAAACACUGACUGAGUCUGAACCAGUGGUUAAAAGGCCUGGAGAAUCCCACAGACUGACCUGUACAUAUUCUGGGUUUAGUAGCACUCCUUACAUAGCUUGGAUCAGACAAGCAACUGGAAAAGGACUGGAGUGGAUUGCUUGGAUCUGGUCAGACAGUGGAGGCAUCUACUACUCUGACUCAGUGAGAAACCGGUUCACCAUCUCCAGAGACAACAGCAGAAGUCAGGUGUAUCUGCAGAUGAACAGUCUGAAAGCUGAGGAUUCUGCUGUUUAUUAUUGUGCUCGAGAGCCACAGUGA